This 962-nucleotide long non-coding RNA is filed under the name Nicotiana benthamiana. RNAcentral describes it as "long non-coding RNA (NBEN_LNC013457)". The record is from RNAcentral. Lineage: Eukaryota; Viridiplantae; Streptophyta; Magnoliopsida; Solanales; Solanaceae.
UGAGUAGGGCAGGAAGGUGAAAGAUGUCCAAUACAACCACAGUCUGGACACAUUGGAGUUGUAGUUUCAUAGGAUAUUUUCUCCAGAUGAGUUUCAAUGAGUACUUCUUGAGGUAAGGGUUUUCUGAUAGGUGCAAGUACACACAAGCGUGCAUAUCUUCCUCUGCUAGUAAGGGAAGUACAAGAAUCGAUCUGUAACAGCGAUCCAAUCAUGGUCCCGACUUUUUUCAGAAUUUCAGUGUCAUAGUAUUCUGUAGGUAAUUCAAGGAGACGAAUCCAGAUUGCGGAUGAAUGAUUUGUAUCAUCAGUUAUGGAAAAUUUUGGUUCCAAAUUCCGCACAGUAAUGUAUUAUGAACCAAGGACCUAGGUGUAAAACUUUGUGAUAGUUGUGGGUACGGGUGAAUCUGAUAAGGUAAUAAUCAUUGCCCAAAUUUAUAAGGUUCAGUGGUUCGAUAGGUUGCCAUAGCAGCUGAAGCUUAGAUUUAAGAAAAUUAUAGCCGAGUUUUCGUCCUAAAAGCUUCAUAAUAACAGUUUGUUGCCAAUUGGUGUAAAGUCUGCUUUUAUCAACAGAGGUUAGAGGGAUGAAGUGUGGGUGACUGGAGGAAUUUUCUUUUUCAUCAGAGAGGUCAAGGUUUUGGAGGGAUUGAUUAAGAAUUUUAAAGGGAGAGUUUUGAGGAGAGGUAUUGUGGGUUAGUUUGUCUCGAAAACUGAUAUUACUGGUAGUAGUUGCAGGAUUAAAAGAUUGAUCAGGCUUGUUGGUCUGCGAUGCAGUAAAUCUGUUUCUUCGUCAUUCAUUGCUCGGUCAAUGUUGGAAUCCAUAUGAAUAAAGUUGAUGAGUUACUUAGCACUUUUGUUGCUUCAAUCUGAUGGAAAUAACACUUCUUUUUCGUAUCUCUCUUUCGCUACCCCCUUUUUUUGUUUUUUUUAAUUAUGGUUUUUUUUCUUUCUUGUUCUUUGUGCUAG